CGAAAACGAAUUCUCUCUUGAGUGGAUCCUGAGUACGACGGAGCACGUGAAAUUCCGUCGGAAUCUGGGAGGACCAUCUCCUAAGGCUAAAUACUCUCUAGUGACCGAUAGUGAACCAGUACCGUGAGGGAAAGGUGAAAAGUACCCCGGAAGGGGAGUGAAAGAGAACUUGAAACCGUGUGCUUACAAGUAGUCAGAGCCCGUUAAUGGGUGAUGGCGUGCCUUUUGUAGAAUGAACCGGCGAGUUACGAUCUGAUGCAAGGUUAAGCAGAAAAUGUGGAGCCGUAGCGAAAGCGAGUCUGAAUAGGGCGAAUGAGUAUUUGGUCGUAGACCCGAAACCAGGUGAUCU
This 349-nucleotide ribosomal RNA is filed under the name Staphylococcus pseudintermedius. RNAcentral describes it as "partial 23S ribosomal RNA". It matches the Rfam family "Bacterial large subunit ribosomal RNA", at positions 380 to 731 of the family's 2925-position model. Lineage: Bacteria; Bacillati; Bacillota; Bacilli; Caryophanales; Staphylococcaceae. The record is from RNAcentral.